GAAGGUAUAGCUCAAGUGAUAGAGCACAUGCCUAGCAUGCAUGAGGUUCUGGGUUCAAUUCCCCAGUACCUCCU
RNAcentral lists this transfer RNA (74 nucleotides) under Camelus bactrianus (Bactrian camel). It matches the Rfam family "tRNA". Rfam says of the family: Transfer RNA (tRNA) molecules are approximately 80 nucleotides in length. The record is from Rfam by way of RNAcentral. Lineage: Eukaryota; Metazoa; Chordata; Mammalia; Artiodactyla; Camelidae. RNAcentral also lists the same sequence under 2 other names.